Camellia sinensis is the source of this 4527-nucleotide non-coding RNA. The record is from RefSeq and is a predicted model, not a curated record. NCBI's taxonomy places the organism in Eukaryota, Viridiplantae, Streptophyta, Magnoliopsida, Ericales, Theaceae.
GCAAAAAGUGGGGAGAAAAGAGAAUCUUUGACUUUUUGGUAUGGGUUGUUGGCUUUUUGGCUAAUUUAGUAACUUUUUGGCUAAUUGGCUAAAAUAGCCUCUUGCCAAACGAGGCCUGAUUCUCAUCCUAAAAUGGUGUUUUGGAAUGAGAGUACUGAUUGUUGUUUGUGGGAAGGGGUCACGUGCGACUGGUUGCAUGGUCGUGUGAUUGGACUUGACCUCACCUUUACCUCAAGCUUUACUAAAUCUAUCUUCGUUGACAUCUCUCAGUCUUGUUUAUUGUCAUCUGCAUGGGAAAUUCUCAGAAAACAUUUUUCACCUUCCAAACCUACGAAAGCUCAACUUACGGGUUAAUAUGAAACUCACAGGUAAACUUCCAAACUUCAAUGUGACUAGUUCCCUUCAGUUUCUUGAUCUCUCUUGGACAAGUUUUUCCGGUCAACUACCUGAUUGAAGCAGCAAUCUUAAAGCCUUGAAUAGUUUGUACCUCUCUCAAUGCAAUUUUUCAAGGUCCAUUCCAGCUUCUCUUUGUAACCUUACACAAAUCACUGAUUUAGACUUCUCAUCUAAUAGUUUCAGCAGUCAAAUUCCCUCAUUAAUUUCAAACCUUGCAAAGCUUACUAACUUGAUUCUUUCACUAAACAAUUUGAACGGACAAAUACGGGAUUCCCUUGGCAAUAUGAGCCAACUUACUGACUUGGACAUUUCUGUAAAUUAGCUAAUUGGUCCCAUUCCUCCAUAUGCUGUUGGGGUUUCAAUGCUAACUUCUCUCCAAUUGAGUCGUAACUCACUCAUUGGGACAAUACCAUCUUCGCUGCUUGCUCUACCUUCACUGAUUAAUAUAGAUUUGAGUGACAAUAAGCUACAGGGACCAAUUCCAAGAUCAGUUUAUGAACUCCAGAAUCUAACAGACUUGGUGCUUUCAUCAAAUAACUUAAGUGGUGUAGUGGAUCUAGAUAAGCUUCUAAAGCUUAAAAAUCUAAUCUCUCUUGAUCUCUCAUAUAAUGGUCCCUCAUUGAGCAUCAACAACAGUGUUAACUCUACCUUGAUCAACUUUGACACUAUAGGAUUAGCUUCUUGCAACUUGAGCGAAUUCCCAAACUUUUUCAGAGAGCAAGCUGGAUUGGCUUCUCUAGACCUUUCAAAAAACAAAAUUCAUGGUGAAGUUCCCAAAUGGAUAUUUGAUGUGGGGGAAAAUACAUUGGGUAUUUUAGAUCUUUCUCAUAAUUUCCUUACAAGUUUAGAGUCUUCCAUGGCAGCCGCUAGAAUAUAUUGACCUGCACUCCAACUUACUCAGAGGCCCACUCCCUGUUCCACCUAUCACCACAAUUCUUUUCUCUCUCAAACAAUAAAUUGACUGGAGAAAUCCCUCCAUUGAUUUGUGGUCUAAGGUCACUUGGUAUUCUUGAUUUGUCUAAGAACAGUUUGAGUGGCUUGAUUCCACAAUGUUCGGGAAACUUGAGCAAUCUCUUCGUGUUGAAUUUAGGGAUCAAUGGCUUUUACGGUACCUUUAUUGCAGCAUUUACAAAAGGCAAUUGGCUAAGGAAUCUUAACUUGAAUGGCAACCAAAUUGAAGGACAAGUUCCGCUAUCUUUACUCAAUUGUAGACACUUGGAAGUUCUAAACCUUGGAAAAAACAAGACAAAUGAUACAUUUCCACACUAGUUGAAAACUCUUCUAGAAUUGCACGUUCUUGUCUUGAGUUUUAAUAGGUUUCAUUGUCGCAUAGGCACCUCCAAGACCAAAGGCAAGCAUCGUCUUCCUAAGUUGAGAAUUAUUGACAUAUCUUGCAAUGAGUUCACUAGCCUUUUGCCAGCAAAUUAUAUCAAACAAUUUGGAGCUAUGAUGAAUGUUGAUAAACAUGAAAUAAAAUUGAAAUACAUGGGCAACGACUAUUAUGAAGAUUCUGUGGUGGUGGUGAUUAAGGGAUCUGAGAUUGAAUUAUCAAGAAUCUUAACAAUCUUGUCAAUCAUUGAUUUUUCAAUAAAUAAAUUCUGAGGAGAGAUUCUGAAAUCCAUUGGGAGGCUUAAUUCACUUUGGGGUCUUAACUUAUCCCAUAACAACCUUGAAGGCCACAUUCCAACUUCACUUGGAAAUUUAACAAACGUUGAAUCAUUGGACCUUUCUUCAAACGAGCUUGUUGGGGUGAUUUCUCAACAAUUGACGAGUUUGAUGUUUCUUGAGAUACUAAACCUUUAGGACAACCAACUUGCAAGACCAAUUCCUCAAGGGAACCAGUUUAAUACAUUUGGAAGGUGAUUCAUACAGUGGGAACUUGGCCUUACGUGGAUUCCUUUUAUCGAAGAAAUGUAAGGAACUACAGCCACUGUCACCUCCACCAACACUCCAACAAGACGAGAAUUCAGACAAGUCAAGUGGAUUUAGCUGGCAAGUUGUAGUGUUGUGGUAUGGAUGCGGAUUUGUAUUUGGAAUGGUUAUGGGAUAUAUUAUGUUUGUAACUCAAAGACCAGAAUGGCUUAUGAAAAUUGUUGAUGGAAAACAUCAUACGAAUGUGAAAAGGUCUAAGAAGGGUGCCCACUGAUGCAGUGAAAGAAGAAAUCAACAAAGACAAAUGGCAUUAUCAGAACUAGAUAUUUUUCUUAGUUGCACAAUAAAGAAAUGGAAUCCAGUUGAAGGGGUGUCUCACCAAUUUGCUGCAUUUGAGUGUAUGUGCAUUCAGAUAGCAGCUACACAAGAUCACUUCAAAAGCUUUACCAUUGCUGCUUUAUUAAAUUCUAAAGUUAAGUUGUGUAGUUUUCUUAAAGCGUUGAGUUAAAUAAGAGUUUCAUGUCAUGAAUUUUUUUUCUUUUUUUUUUCUCGCAUCAUGUAACAACCUUUGGAGAUUUUCACUUUUGUAUGUAGUUGCUUUUAAAUUGGAUUUCAGUCACAAAAGACUAGGCAUUGCCAAGUUUUUAUCUUUGAAAUGCAAUCUUACAAGUUACAACCAUUCCCCUUGUUACAUUCUAAAUCAUUUUGAGUAAUAGAAAUGUUGGCUACUAGAUAGAGAAUUCGCAUAGAAAAUAAUGUUAUAUGUUAGUUUGAGCAGUGCUUUUACUCGUCGCUAUUGUAGUCCAGCAGAGCUUUUGUUCUCUUUCACAUCUUUCUAUCAACAGACAGAAUUGAUGAUAAUUAUUAUUAUUAUUUUUCAUCUUCAUUGGCGAUUGGAGAAUCAAACUAGAGAUAUGUACUAGCAUUUGUUCUAUAGACGUGGGAAUUUUGUUAUUAAUUGUAGUAUGAAAAUGGUAUUAAUUGAAAAGGUCGCUUAUAGGCAAGAAUGUUGUUGGGAUUGUGAAGUCUGAUUAAUUAGUACUAUACAUUUCAUUACACAAUCAUGGAUCCAACUGAUGUGACCAUGUGAUUUUAAUGCAUUGUUUUAUUUUCUCUUUCCUUUUUUUCUUUUUUCUUUCUUUCUUUCUAGUUUAUAGCUAAAAAUGAUGGUUUGGUGUACUGAAAUUGUUAUUGUGUUCUAAGAAGUUAAUUUUUUUUUUUUAAUUUUAGAAAGUUUUAAUUCUGUCUUUAUAUAUUGUUGAUGUUUCUCUGCCAAUUCUCUCAAAUACUAUGGAGUAUUGAUGAGUCCAGAUCCUCUGCCAUGGUUUCUUGCCAUGGUCCCUGCCGUGAUGCCAAAAUGUCGUUUUGGCGUUAAAUUCAAAAAAAAAAAUUUCCUCUGUUUUCCCUUUCUCCCUCAAUUGUUGAUACAGCCCUAAACCUUAAGAGAGAGGCGAACUUGAAUGGCUCCUUUGACGCAGAGGAGGGUAGGUGACGACAGUUGCGCUAGGCGAGGUGAGGCGACAGUUAGGUCUCUCCUCUUCCAUCUUCAUUCUCAUGUGGUGCUUAAAUAUGUAUGUAUAUAUAUAUAUAUAUGAUUUUUAUGUAUAUAUAUAUGAUUUCUGGAUUUGAAUUUCUUGUUGAUUUUGUAAAUGGGUUUGAUUUCUAGGGGUUUUUUCCCCCUCUUUUCCCCUUUACGAUUUCUCCUUCCAAAAAAUAGGAAUCCAAAAAUCAAAUUAUAUGUAUGAUUUUUCAUUUGAGCAUAUCAAUUUUUGAUUCUCCAAAUCACUUUGUAUCUAUAAAAAAAAAUUUGAGAUUUCUCCCAUUACAUUGUUUGAACAAGAGGGACCUACAUGGGAUUUGUUAAAGCAAAUAUAAUAUGGUUUUUCCUAUAAUAUUUUCAUAUAUGAUUUGUAAUUUUCUGAGUUCCUAGUUUCACUGUGACUGUACUUCUGUUUUUGCUCAUACAAUGACCAAGGUAAUCUGUGAUUAUUAAUUUGUAGAUUUUGUGAUUGAACGACAACAAUUGGUUGUGGUUGGGCAUGAUGUCUCAAGUUAGGACCUGUUGAAAAGAUUUGCUAAACUUUGAAGUAAUUUGAUAUCUUACUUUGAUGACUUGGAAGGACAUAAUUUUUUUGUGAAGAUGAUAAUACAGUAUGUGUUUAAUUAGGAUUGAAUUGACAUUCUUUUUUGGUGUGCCAUACAAUCUAUGUUUUUGCUGGUAAUGGAAUAAAACAAUUGUAAUUACCUAAAAAAAAAGGG